AGAGUUUGAUCCUGGCUCAGAACGAACGCUGGCGGCAGGCUUAACACAUGCAAGUCGAGCGCCCCGCAGGGAGAGCGCCAGACGGGUGAGUAACGCGUGGGAACAUACCCUUUGGUUCGGAAUAACUCAGGGAAACUUGAGCUAAUACCGGAUACGUCCGUAAGGAGAAAGAUUUAUCGCCAAAGGAUUGCCCCGCGUCCGAAUUAGCUAUU
RNAcentral lists this ribosomal RNA (212 nucleotides) under uncultured bacterium. Its description in RNAcentral is "partial 16S ribosomal RNA". It matches the Rfam family "Bacterial small subunit ribosomal RNA", at positions 8 to 249 of the family's 1533-position model. The record is from RNAcentral.